This is a long non-coding RNA of Mesocricetus auratus (golden hamster), 986 nucleotides long. RefSeq lists it as uncharacterized. The record is from RefSeq and is a predicted model, not a curated record. The transcript has 2 exons. NCBI's taxonomy places the organism in Eukaryota, Metazoa, Chordata, Mammalia, Rodentia, Cricetidae.
UCCCGGAUGGCUCACUGUGGGCUUUUCCUCCUUUCCCCUCUCCCUACCCAACAGCCUGCCAAGCUCCGGCAUUACUUGGGGCCACUUGGCAGGACCUUUCUUUAUGUACCUCUGUCUCUGCUCGCUUGGAGACAGACUGCUGCCCCUGUUCUUGUCUAGGCUCUGAGUUUCAUCUGCUAGGUGACCUUGGCAAGUCCCGGAGUAACUGUGGUGCCAGUCAAACCAAACAGCUUCAUGUAGAAGAAUGAAACUGGAACCUUAUUUCUCAUCCUGUGCCAAAUUCAACUCUAAAUGGAUCAAAGACCACAAGACCCAAGACCCUCCUUCUGAGAGAGGAGAAAGUAGAGAAGAGGCUUGAACUCACCGGAACAAUAAAAGGACUUUCUGAACAGGACCCCGGGAGUGCAGGAAUCAAGACCAACAAUUAAUAAACAGGACCUCAUAAAACUAAAAAAUAAAAAAUCUGCACAGAAAAGGACACCCUCACUCCAGUAAAGUAGCUCCCUACUGAAUGGAAAAACACAAGCAAAAACUUUGUCAGCUAGGUGUCUGAUGGAGAUAACAAAAUUACUAAUUCAUGAAACUCAUAAGUCCAAAGUGUGCCUCAGGCACAGCUGGAGUCAGGCAAGUCCCAAGGGUCUCGGGCCUCUUUGCUUUGGCCUUGUCUUUUGGUCUAUUCAGAAUAACCUUCUCCUGCUUACAGGAUUAAUAAAUGCAGAGAUUUUUGUCUUCCCAACAAUUUAAUCAAAACUUUAAUAAUGAGCCUCGCUGACUUAAGGUCAAUCUCCUGAGGUCACGCAUGUUGUGGAAUUUAUUUUAACAGGGUAAGGAUGUGUUAGAUUUGUUUAUGUGUGGAAUACUACUUUAACUGUGUAAGGGUACAUUACAUUUAUUUAUGCUGCCUUUGUUAACGAUGUAAAGGUGUGUUACAUUUGUUUAUGCUGCAUUUCUUUAAUGAUGAAAGGAUGUGUGCUUAAUUAUGCAAA